GGAGAUGUCGCCUAGCUGGUCGAGGGCGCGCGACUGGAAAUCGCGUAAACCACACCAUGGUUUCGGGAGUUCGAAUCCCCCCAACUCCGCCA
This 92-nucleotide transfer RNA is filed under the name Clostridia bacterium. RNAcentral's name for it is "tRNA-Ser". It matches the Rfam family "tRNA". Rfam says of the family: Transfer RNA (tRNA) molecules are approximately 80 nucleotides in length. Their secondary structure includes four short double-helical elements and three loops (D, anti-codon, and T loops). Further hydrogen bonds mediate the characteristic L-shaped molecular structure. tRNAs have two regions of fundamental functional importance: the anti-codon, which is responsible for specific mRNA codon recognition, and the 3' end, to which the tRNAs corresponding amino acid is attached (by aminoacyl-tRNA synthetases). tRNAs cope with the degeneracy of the genetic code in two manners: having more than one tRNA (with a specific anti-codon) for a particular amino acid; and 'wobble' base-pairing, i.e. permitting non-standard base-pairing at the 3rd anti-codon position. The record is from RNAcentral. Lineage: Bacteria; Bacillati; Bacillota; Clostridia.